AUAAUUGACAAUAGGCUCCCAUGGAAGUCUUCUCUGCAUUUCUGCAAAAAUUUAGGAAACAUUAGGUUUGACACCAUCAUCAUGUUUGCCAAGGCAGCAAAAAUCCCAGCCAGCAAAGCUUCAAGUGUGAUGAAGCAGAACAGCAAGGACAGCACGGAAUGACUGAUCAUUUCAGAAUGCCGUCUAGCGAGAGUUUCCAAUGUGGGAGUUUUCCAUUGUUUUGAAGCAGGAGAAAUAGGGACUGGGUGCUUUGGAAGAAACAUGCU
RNAcentral lists this long non-coding RNA (266 nucleotides) under Pongo abelii (Sumatran orangutan). Its description in RNAcentral is "lincRNA". The record is from RNAcentral. Lineage: Eukaryota; Metazoa; Chordata; Mammalia; Primates; Hominidae.